Molecule: long non-coding RNA, 409 nt
Filed under: Brassica rapa (field mustard)
Lineage: Eukaryota; Viridiplantae; Streptophyta; Magnoliopsida; Brassicales; Brassicaceae
Description: long non-coding RNA (BRAP_LNC007040)
Source: RNAcentral
UAAAAGUGGUUAGUGUAAACAUGAAAAGUGGUACUAUAAAUGUGCUAUUUGUGGCAAUUUCCCGUUUUUAUUAAACUAAUCAUAAAUUGAUUAUUAAUGUUCUUCAUUGUUUACUUAAAUAAAAAUAACAGAAUUACCAAAUGUGACUAAAGUAUAUAUUCUCCAUCAUUUUUAAAAUUUUAACAUAUUAAAAUAAAUUAAACAACCACAUUAACUAUAUAGUAUUAAUUUAGAUUUUUUUGUAUAUGUUAUAUUUUGAACUUUUAAACUCCAUCAUACUCUUUCGCAGAUAUUUAACAUCGUUCACAGGUUCCACAUAAAAAAUAAAAAAAUAAAUAAAUAAAAAAAUAAAUAAAUAAAUAAAUAAAAUAAAUAAAUAAAAAUGUAAAUUCUUUUUGAAAAACGAAUU